GAUGAACGCUGGCGGCGUGCCUAAUACAUGCAAGUCGAGCGAACAGACGAGGAGCUUGCUCCUCUGACGUUAGCGGCGGACGGGUGAGUAACACGUGGAUAACCUACCUAUAAGACUGGGAUAACUUCGGGAAACCGGAGCUAAUACCGGAUAAUAUAUUGAACCGCAUGGUUCAAUAGUGAAAGACGGUUUUGCUGUCACUUAUAGAUGGAUCCGCGCCGCAUUAGCUAGUUGGUAAGGUAACGGCUUACCAAGGCAACGAUGCGUAGCCGACCUGAGAGGGUGAUCGGCCACCCUGUAACUGAGACACGGUCCAGACUCCUACGGGAGGCAGCAGUAGGGAAUCUUCCGCAAUGGGCGAAAGCCUGACGGAGCAACGCCGCGUGAGUGAUGAAGGUCUUCGGAUCGUAAAACUCUGUUAUUAGGGAAGAACAAAUGUGUAAGUAACUAUGCACGUCUUGACGGUACCUAAUCAGAAAGCCACGGCUAACUACGUG
RNAcentral lists this ribosomal RNA (497 nucleotides) under uncultured bacterium. Its description in RNAcentral is "partial 16S ribosomal RNA". It matches the Rfam family "Bacterial small subunit ribosomal RNA", at positions 28 to 507 of the family's 1533-position model. The record is from RNAcentral.